Molecule: ribosomal RNA, 611 nt
Filed under: uncultured fungus
Lineage: Eukaryota; Fungi
Description: eukaryotic LSU rRNA
Rfam family: Eukaryotic large subunit ribosomal RNA
Source: RNAcentral
CCCGCUGAACUUAAGCAUAUCAAUAAGCGGAGGAAAAGAANCCANCAGGGAUUGCCUCAGUAACGGCGAGUGAAGCGGCANCAGCUCAAAUUUGAAAUCUGGUCCUUUCAGGGCCCGAGUUGUAAUUUGUAGAAGAUGCUUCGAGCGUGGCACCGGUCUAAGUUCCUUGGAACAGGACGUCAUAGAGGGUGAGAAUCCCGUAUGCGACUGGCCGCCUUUGUUCAUGUGAAGCUCUUUCGACGAGUCGAGUUGUUUGGGAAUGCAGCUCAAAGUGGGUGGUAUAUUUCAUCUAAAGCUAAAUAUUGGCCAGAGACCGAUAGCGCACAAGUAGAGUGAUCGAAAGAUGAAAAGCACUUUGGAAAGAGAGUUAAACAGUACGUGAAAUUGUUGAAAGGGAAGCGCUUGCAACCAGACUUGCACAUUGCUGAUCAUCUGGGGUUCUCCCCAGUGCACUCGGUAACGUUCAGGCCAGCAUCGGUUUGGGUGGUUGGAUAAAGGCCUUGGGAAUGUAGCUCCUCUCGGGGAGUGUUAUAGCCCUCGGUGCAAUGCAGCCUACCCGGACCGAGGACCGCGCUUCGGCUAGGAUGCUGGCGUAAUGGUUGUAAGCGACC